Molecule: long non-coding RNA, 6165 nt
Filed under: Capsicum annuum
Lineage: Eukaryota; Viridiplantae; Streptophyta; Magnoliopsida; Solanales; Solanaceae
Description: long non-coding RNA (CANN_LNC018356)
Source: RNAcentral
GAAAAACUUUUCAUUUUUCUCUUUCCUCUCUCUUCCCUCUUGACACCAUGAUUUCAUCUUCUCUUUUUUUUGGGGGGAGAUUGUUAUUGUAAUUUACACUUUUGGUCGUGGAUUUUCAAACAAUCAUCUUGUUGCUAUUAUAAGGUGUGUGUUUUUCCUCAAUUGAAAAAAAUUGAAUUAGAAUUUUUAUCUAUUCUUUAAAUUUGAGUGAAAUUAACUGGUGCUUUAAGUUGUCUAAGUGUUUGAUUAAUAGCGUAUUACGUUCGUAAGUACAUCAAAUUAGGAUUUUUGUUGAUUGUGUAAGUCGGUUUAGGGGAGAAAUUAGAAUUUUUUUUCUCCCAUUUGUUGUUAAUGUGAAAAAUUCCAUGUUUGCAUCUUCGAUUUGUUGUUAAUGAAGUUUGCAAGUUCAACAAAAUUCUAUGUUUGCAUCUCACUAUAGCAUUGAGCAUUGGGUGUGAUUCAUUCAUACAAAGCUUAUUCAAUUCCUCAUUUGCCCUAUUAAGAAUUCCGACAAAAUCAAUCAACAAAUUACGAACCCCAAAUUAAAGUUGGAUAAGAUUAUAAAUCACAACUUCAAGAGUUCAACAAGAAAUCGGUAUUACAAACUAAGCUAAGAAGAUGUUUGACAGAAAUCGAAAAAAAAAUGGAGGAGAAGAAGUCUCAUCGAAGAAGAUGAGUUUGGACCGUUGGAGACACACACUUUAAUAAGAAAUUAGAAAUUCUCAAUUAGAAAGAAAAGAGAGAAUUGAAUAAUAUAUAAUAUAAUAAAAUAUUUAUUAUAUUAUUAAAAAUAAUGACAUGGCAAUUAGAAAAUAAAUAAUUUAAAGUGAAAAUGAGUCAUCCGACAUGUCCAUGGGCGGUGUAGUCACGUCCAUUGACAGGUCAGUAAUUAGGGGUAAUAAAUUCGGAAAAGAAAAGUUUAGGGAUAAUAGGUCUCCUUUAAAGAUUGAGUGUGUAGUUGAAAUUUUGACUAAAGGUUGGGGGAUAAUAAAUCAUUUUCUCUUCUGUAUUUGAUUGAAAGUAUUACUUAGUUCUAAAAUUAUUUAUUUCACCAUUUAUAUCAUAAUGAUAGAAUUAGUUAUCUCUUAUACAUGUGGGAUAACUUAUUGUGGAGUAGUUAUAUCUCGGAAUAACUUGUUCCUAACCAAAUGAUAUUUAAAUUAUUAAUUCAACCCAUAUUUUGAACUUGUUUUCUAGCCUGUUAUAAUUUAAUUUUUUUUUAAAUUUUAUGGUCUUUUAAUGAAAGAUGUUGCCUUUUUAAACAUAAGUGAUAUUUAAUUUUACGCAUAAAACAUCUGUAUUUAUUUUUUUAAUAAGUCUAAAAAUCUCAUUUCCUCGUCAGACUGGGCCUGUCCUUCUCUAGCUUAUCUGAAUAAAUUAUUUGUCCCAUACACAACGAGUAUGGAAAAUGAUAUUCCCUUCAUUUCAUACUAAAUGAAUUGUUAGAUUUUGACAUACAUAUUAAGAAAAAAAUAUUAAAGACAUAAAUUUAACACAACUUUUCAUUUUAUUCCCCCCCAAAAAAUUAACCUUGUAAUACCUUUUCAAAAGUUAAUUGAUUGUCAAAUCAUAAGGGUAGAUUUGAAAAGAAUUUCAAUGAUUCACUUAUUUUGAAACACCAAUAAAUCUCCAAACAAUUCACUUAUUUCGAAAUAGAGUGAAUAUCUACUUUCAACCAACAUCUAAAAUUGGAUUUGUUUACAUCAUAUCGAUGGUGUAGUUUUGUGCUUGAUAAAUUAAAGGUGCAAUUAACUUACACAUGCAUAUUAUGGCAAAUUAAAUGGACCCAAAGAAAUAUGAUAGAUGAGAUAUGUAGCAAUUGGAUUCAAAUAAGUUUAGAAAAGUAACUUAUUUAAAUAAUCCAAAAAGACAUUUUAUUAUUUCAAGACCCCUCUUCCUCUUCUUUUUUCUUGUUAAUUAUAAUUUUUUUCUUUUAAAAAAAUUAAUUUAGGCGUGUAAGCUGAAGAAGAAAAAGAAAAGAAAUAUUAUAUUUGAAUUUGUUUUAUGCACUUAAAAGAGGAAAGAGAAUGAAAUACACUCUUUUUGCCAUUUCAACUUUGUAUAGUGUUUGAUCUUGUAUUAUCUGAACUAUUUAUUUUAUUUCUUAAGCAAAACCAAAAUAAUUAUGCUUAGUCUAAAUGCAAUUUUACAUACUUUGUGCACCGAAUGACAAUUAACUCCUAAAAAAAACUACAUUUUUAUAUGAACUUUCAAGGUGAAAGAUUACGUCAUGAGAAAAAUUUACUUUUUUGAGAUUUUUUUCCUCUUUAUAAAAAUAUUGUUUAGUCAUAAAAACUCCAAAUACAACUUGUGAAAAUAUAUCUCAACCUGUUUGCAUUUUUUUCAAUCAACUCCAACUUCUCUCUUAUAUUUAAAAAAGUGGCUUCAAAAGUCUAAAAAAUCAAAACACAACUUCAAUUCUAAAAUAUUUUGAUUUUCAUAGCCGAACGCCUACUAAAUAUAGUGUUUGGGCUAAAUCUUGGCCCAUCCAUUCCCCCAUUUGGGCUUGGGCAGGAAAACUUAUCUAUGGGCUUGGGCUGGGUGGCUCUCAACUUCUAAUCUAUCCCAACCCCAUUCAUCCAUUUUGCCUCUUUUUCCAAUGAUAUUUUGCUAUCUCAUACAUAAACUUGAGUCGAGUCGAGUCGAGUUAAGUUGAGUUGAACUGAGUCGAAUGUAGUUCGACUUCGUCUAUUCUUUCAUUGAGUAAAGUUUGAGUAGGCCUGAUCGAACUUUUGCACAAGACUGAGUCGAACUGAAUUUAAUCGAAAUUUACUAUAAUUUAAUUGAGUCUGAAUCACGCGUCUUACUUAUCCUACGUGCCUCACUAAGUAUAAAAAUAAAACAUAAGAAGUAAUUGAUCACUAUUAACAAAAAGGAAUUAGCAAUGAACAAAUUUUUAUCCAAACAACAAAAUCUGUUGCUAAUCUUAUUUAGUAACAAAUGAGUGAUUUAGCCCAUGGUUUUGGGGUGGGCCCAGGGCCGGCAUCGUUUUGGGCCAAAACACGACUGGUGUCCCCCGACUUGGGAAGCGUGUGAGUAAUUAAUUUUAGAAUGAGUUUAUAUCAUGUUUGAUUGGAAUAAAAUCGUGAGAUAACUUAUUCCAAUAUUUAAGUAUCUCGAUGUUGUAGUAUUAUUUUUAUCCCUUAUGAAUGAUAGAAUAACAAUCUCGAAAUUAAUUCCUCUUAUUUUUUUAGUUAAUUGAUUUUUUUCUUCAUUUUAUUAGUUUAAUGAAGGACAAAAUGUUUGAAUCAUUUCUUUAAAAAAUUUCGCACUUUUACAAUAUUAUAAAUAUAAUAUUAAUUUUUUUUGGUCAAGAUGUAAAUAUUAAUUGAUGUAGAUGUAUAUAUACAAAUAAACAAAAAUUCACCUUGUGAUUAAUUUUACACGAUCAUAUUUAGCUAGCACAAAAUUUAAUCAAAACUGACAACACUCAUCAAAAUGUAUAUAUGACAUGUACUCUUUGAACAGUUUAAAGGAGUAAUAAGGAAAUUAAAACACAACAACAUACACAUAUAUUAUAAAACAUAAUAUAAGUACACAGUACACAUGUGAUGAUGUGAUAUAUAUGGAUCAUGAAGAUCACAAUAUACACCAAUCUGCCUUAUUUGGGAUAUCUACUAUUGAUAUUCAUUACAUUUAUCUAUUCGACACGAUAAAUCAAUAUAUAUAUAUAUAUAUAUAUAAAGGAAAAACAAGACAGACAAGGAUGAUGUGACAUCUUUUUAUGGUCACCAUUUCUAUUUAUUUUUUUUCUCUUUUUUUUUUUUAAUUUUUUUGCGAUUUCUUGCAUUGAUCAAUUUGUUUAAUAAAUAAAAAAAUUAUUAUAUUCAAUUAUAUCUCAUGAAUUAUAAAAAACCUCUAUCCAUUCACAUUCUCUAUUUAAGUAACAUGUCCCUUCAACUUUCUUCUAUCAAAUUCUUAUGACUUGAACAAUCUAUAUAUAGGCAAUGGUUUAUUCCGAAAAUAGCAUUGAACUUUGUAGCCAUGGUUGAACGCAAAAGAAGAAAAUUAAAGUUAGUAAGUUUUCAAUAUAUGUGACUUUGAGCAUUGGACACUUUAUUUUGUAUGAUUUAGAAUUGAUUAAAUUUUACAGAAUAUUUCACAUUAAAGUUAGUAAGUUUUCAAUAUAUGUGGUUUUGAACACUGGACAUUUUACUUUGUAUGAUUUAGAAUUGAUUGAAUUUUACUGAAUAUUUCACAUUUAUAAUCAUUUGCUAAUCAUGCACUCAAGUUCAAUGAGGUUCAUAUUUUCAUUUUCUUAUUUUGUAUCUAUAGUUAAAUUUAUUUUGUGAUAUUUAUUCAUGUGUUCAUGGAUACUCUUUGAUAGUAAAAUUUAUAUUUAUGCCAUCUUCAAUGUGUUCAAUGGAUCUGUUUCAACUGCAAAUGAUAUGACAAUAUUGGGAUUAAAGAGUUUUGGAAAAAGAAGAUUGAAGGAUGAUACACAGAAAAUGGAGUUUGUUAACUAGCCUCGCUGCUAUUCUUGACGAAAUCAUCGGUACUAUUGUCAUUGCCAUUUCAUAUUCGUCCAAAAUGAUCCAUCCAAGUAAAAAUACUAGAUGUGUGAUUCUCUGGUUUAAGGUUGUGAUGUUUGCUCCACCUUUUUCGCAAGAUUGUAUGCAAAUAAUUUUAGUGAAUAUGACAAGCCUUCUGAAUCUAAAUAAAUAGUGGAAUAUUGUUCAGAAAAGAAAGAAGUAUUCAUUGGGCAGAAGAGCAGACAAAAAAGUUAUUGUUCUUUGGAAAGAAAAAUCAAUUUAACAAGCUGAACAAUUUUUAUGUUUAUAGUGUAACCUUUUUUUUCUCUCUCUUUACAUCUCAAAAUUUUAUUGCACUUUGUUCUACGAGAGUGGAUUCGACCAAAUCUGAAAUACAUUAGAUGUAUAUAGAUUUUUUAUUUUCAAAGAUAAUGUUUAGAGAUUUGAAAACUAACUACACAAUCUGUGAGAUGAAAUUUUUUUCCUUUAACAAAAUAGUGGUGAAAUAUAGCACAAUUCACAUAUGAAAACAAUAAGAUGACAAAAGAAUUUUCACAGAAAAGUGUGUAAAUAAUUGCACUAUGAUUUACUUUUUAACCAAAUUCACUGAAAGGAGAUACUUACAAUUUGAAUCAAAAACAAAUGUAGCUAGCAGGUGUAAAGUUUUGUUGUUUAGAAGUUAAGGGAGGUGAUAUACCUGUUCUUAAUUACUUGCAUAGUCUAAGACCUCAAGAACAUGGUGUGUUACCACGAAGAGGUGGGUUCAAAAUAUAUUUGAUGGAUUUAGUUUUUAGUUUUUUUUAACAUGGCUACAAAGUUCAAUAUUGUCUUCUGAGUAAACCAUUGUCUAUAUACAGAUUGUUCAAGUCAUAAGAAUUUGAUAGAAGAAAGUUGAAGGGACAAUUUAAAUAGAGAAUAUAAAUGGAUGGAGAUUUUUUUUGUAACUCAUGAGAUAUAAUUGAAUAUAAUAAAUAUAAUAAUCUAUUUAUUUGUUAAAUAAAUUGAUCAAUGCAAAAAUGAUGGGGAAAAUUCAAAUAAAAAGAGAAAAAAAUAAAUAGGAAUGAUGGCCAUAGAGAUGUCACAUCAUCCUUGUGUUGUUUAUCCUUUAUAGAUAUAUAUUAAUAUAUUGAUUAUGGAGGAAAUUAAGAGGUUUUUAGAUUUUUAAUAUUUAAUUUAAUAUAAGAUAAAUUAAUAGGAUGAAGUAGGAAAAAAUGCAAAAAAGGAGAAAAAUGUAAAAUAAAAAUGGAUGAAAAAUAAUUAAAUAAAAACGGAUAAGAUGAAAGGACUUAUGUAAAUUUUCUAAUUAAUAGCAGAUGAGAGGACUUAUCUAACACAAAAAAUCUUUGAUUAUGUAUAAUGUUUACCUAUCACUACAAUAACUAUAAAUAUUUUUAUUUACAUAAUUAAUGCAUUAUGUAUGAAACAACAAAUAAAUAAGAAUAGAUAGCUCAUCAAAAUUUUAUUAUUAUAAAAAAAAUUAUAUAAAUUCAACAAGUUCUUACACAUCGCGCAAAGCGCGAACUUAUUCACUAGUUAAAAUAUAUAGUACAGGCGAGUAGUCACUUAUUUUAGUUUAUAAUAAAAGUGAAACAAAUAUUAUAAAUAUUUAAUGUGAUCUUUUCCGUUCAUAUAUAACAAUGAAUUCAUUUCUCUGUAAUUAAUUGUGGAGAUUAAAAUGCAAAGUAAAAAUUUC